Molecule: non-coding RNA, 653 nt
Organism: Phoenix dactylifera (date palm)
Lineage: Eukaryota; Viridiplantae; Streptophyta; Magnoliopsida; Arecales; Arecaceae
Source: RefSeq, a predicted model, not a curated record
CCCCCUUCAUCCAAAAAAAAAAAGAGCCCAGGCUUUUAUCUCGCCGUCUAAUUCGAUUCUUCGGGAAGCGAUAGAGAGAAGGGAGUGAGCAGUCUUAAUUUAGAACAUACAGGGUGCCAUGGGAACUGAAGACUCUAAAGAUAUACUGAAACACAGGGAUUGGAAGGCAGUGGGUGGUGCUAUAACUGGUGAACCAAGUGGGCCAAUCACAAAAAAACGGCUUCCGAAGAAACUAAGACAAGUCCCUGACUACUAUUUUCUUCCUCGGCGAUCAUUACCUUCUGCUAUUGCCAUCUAUGGUGCCAUCUGUGUUGCUGGAGUUGGUGCCGGGAUGCUAAUGGAGGUUUGGAUAAACAAAAAGAUCAAAGAGGAUGAUGCCGUCGUCUGGGUGAUGGACUGAAAGUGCUGAGUGGAUUUGCAGGUGCAGUUUGAGAUGCUCUAAAGUUUUCUAGCAUAUUCAGAUGCAACGAUGUUCUACUAGCUUGAAAUGGAGUAUGUCUAAUUACAUACUGUAACGGUGGCCAAAAUGGUUCCAUUUGUUUUGCUGCAUUAUGAGGUGUUAUGUUGCUUCUUUUUCAUCCCAAAUUUUUUAGGUCAGCACUGAAUUGAGUGAAUUCUUCUUUUCUGGAAAUAAGCAAUUUCUUGUGGUUAUA